This 174-nucleotide ribosomal RNA is filed under the name uncultured bacterium. Its description in RNAcentral is "partial 16S ribosomal RNA". It matches the Rfam family "Bacterial small subunit ribosomal RNA", at positions 1328 to 1500 of the family's 1533-position model. The record is from RNAcentral.
GGAAUCGCUAGUAAUCGCGGAUCAGAAUGCCGCGGUGAAUACGUUCCCGGGUCUUGUACACACCGCCCGUCACACCAUGGGAGUCGGUAACGCCCGAAGUCAGUGACCCAACCCUAAAGGAGGGAGCUGCCGAAGGCGGGACUGGUAACUGGGGUGAAGUCGUAACAAGGUAUC